RNAcentral lists this ribosomal RNA (760 nucleotides) under Arthrobacter sp. 8D7. RNAcentral's name for it is "bacterial SSU rRNA". It matches the Rfam family "Bacterial small subunit ribosomal RNA", at positions 54 to 826 of the family's 1533-position model. Lineage: Bacteria; Bacillati; Actinomycetota; Actinomycetes; Micrococcales; Micrococcaceae. The record is from RNAcentral.
CAUGCAGUCGAACGAUGACUUUUGUGCUUGCACAGAAUGAUUAGUGGCGAACGGGUGAGUAACACGUGAGUAACCUGCCCCUGACUCUGGGAUAAGCCUGGGAAACUGGGUCUAAUACUGGAUAUGCACCGUAGACCGCAUGGUUUUUGGUGGAAAGAAUUUUGGUCAGGGAUGGACUCGCGGCCUAUCAGCUUGUUGGUGAGGUAAUGGCUCACCAAGGCGACGACGGGUAGCCGGCCUGAGAGGGUGACCGGCCACACUGGGACUGAGACACGGCCCAGACUCCUACGGGAGGCAGCAGUGGGGAAUAUUGCACAAUGGGCGAAAGCCUGAUGCAGCGACGCCGCGUGAGGGAUGACGGCCUUCGGGUUGUAAACCUCUUUCAGUAGGGAAGAAGCGAAAGUGACGGUACCUGCAGAAGAAGCGCCGGCUAACUACGUGCCAGCAGCCGCGGUAAUACGUAGGGCGCAAGCGUUAUCCGGAAUUAUUGGGCGUAAAGAGCUCGUAGGCGGUUUGUCGCGUCUGCCGUGAAAGUCCGAGGCUCAACUUCGGAUCUGCGGUGGGUACGGGCAGACUAGAGUGAUGUAGGGGAGACUGGAAUUCCUGGUGUAGCGGUGAAAUGCGCAGAUAUCAGGAGGAACACCGAUGGCGAAGGCAGGUCUCUGGGCAUCUACUGACGCUGAGGAGCGAAAGCAUGGGGAGCGAACAGGAUUAGAUACCCUGGUAGUCCAUGCCGUAAACGUUGGGCACUAGGUGUGGG